UGGGGAAUCUUGGACAAUGGGGGCAACCCUGAUCCAGCCAUGCCGCGUGAGUGAUGAAGGCCUUAGGGUCGUAAAGCUCUUUCGCCUGUGAAGAUAAUGACGGUAGCAGGUAAAGAAACCCCGGCUAACUCCGUGCCAGCAGCCGCGGUAAUACGGAGGGGGUUAGCGUUGUUCGGAAUUACUGGGCGUAAAGCGCACGUAGGCGGACCAGAAAGUUGGGGGUGAAAUCCCGGGGGCUCAACCCCGGAACUGCCUCCAAAACUAUUGGUCUAGAGUUCGAGAGAGGUGAGUGGAAUUCCAAGUGUAGAGGUGAAAUUCGUAGAUAUUUGGAGGAACACCAGUGGCGAAGGCGGCUCACUGGCUCGAUACUGACGCUGAGGUGCGAAAGUGUGGGGAGCAAACAGGAUUAGAUACCCGUGGGUAGUCCACACCGUAAAACGAUGAAUGCCAGUCGUCGGGUAGCAUGCUAUUCGGUGACACACCU
Molecule: ribosomal RNA, 484 nt
Filed under: uncultured bacterium
Lineage: Bacteria
Description: bacterial SSU rRNA
Rfam family: Bacterial small subunit ribosomal RNA
Source: RNAcentral